This 238-nucleotide ribosomal RNA is filed under the name uncultured bacterium. Its description in RNAcentral is "partial 16S ribosomal RNA". It matches the Rfam family "Bacterial small subunit ribosomal RNA", at positions 81 to 334 of the family's 1533-position model. The record is from RNAcentral.
AGUUUUUAACUCAAGUGGCGGACGGGUGAGUAACACGUAAGAAUUUGCCUUUAGGAGGGGGACAACAACUGGAAACGGUUGCUAAUACCCCAUAUGCUUUCGAGUGAAAUGGAUUUUUCCGCCUAGAGAGAAGCUUGCGGCUGAUUAGCUUGUUGGUAAGGUAAUGGCUUACCAAGGCGACGAUCAGUAUCUGGUUUGAGAGGACGAUCAGACACACUGGAACUGAGACACGGUCCAG